RNAcentral lists this ribosomal RNA (1017 nucleotides) under uncultured organism. RNAcentral's name for it is "bacterial SSU rRNA". It matches the Rfam family "Bacterial small subunit ribosomal RNA", at positions 356 to 1376 of the family's 1533-position model. The record is from RNAcentral.
GAGGAAUAUUGGUCAAUGGACGAGAGUCUGAACCAGCCAAGUAGCGUGAAGGAUGACUGCCCUAUGGGUUGUAAACUUCUUUUAUACGGGAAUAAAGUGAGGCACGUGUGCCUUUUUGUAUGUACCGUAUGAAUAAGGAUCGGCUAACUCCGUGCCAGCAGCCGCGGUAAUACGGAGGAUCCGAGCGUUAUCCGGAUUUAUUGGGUUUAAAGGGAGCGUAGGCGGACGCUUAAGUCAGUUGUGAAAGUUUGCGGCUCAACCGUAAAAUUGCAGUUGAUACUGGGUGUCUUGAGUACAGUAGAGGCAGGCGGAAUUCGUGGUGUAGCGGUGAAAUGCUUAGAUAUCACGAAGAACUCCGAUUGCGAAGGCAGCUUGCUGGACUGUAACUGACGCUGAUGCUCGAAAGUGUGGGUAUCAGACAGGAUUAGAUACCCUGGUAGUCCACACAGUAAACGAUGAAUACUCGCUGUUUGCGAUAUACAGUAAGCGGCCAAGCGAAAGCGUUAAGUAUUCCACCUGGGGAGUACGCCGGCAACGGUGAAACUCAAAGGAAUUGACGGGGGCCCGCACAAGCGGAGGAACAUGUGGUUUAAUUCGAUGAUACGCGAGGAACCUUACCCGGGCUUGAAUUGCAACUGAAUGAUGUGGAGACAUGUCAGCCGCAAGGCAGUUGUGAAGGUGCUGCAUGGUUGUCGUCAGCUCGUGCCGUGAGGUGUCGGCUUAAGUGCCAUAACGAGCGCAACCCUUAUCGAUAGUUACCAUCAGGUUAUGCUGGGGACUCUGUCGAGACUGCCGUCGUAAGAUGUGAGGAAGGUGGGGAUGACGUCAAAUCAGCACGGCCCUUACGUCCGGGGCUACACACGUGUUACAAUGGGGGGUACAGAAGGCAGCUACACGGCGACGUGAUGCUAAUCCCGAAAGCCUCUCUCAGUUCGGAUUGGAGUCUGCAACCCGACUCCAUGAAGCUGGAUUCGCUAGUAAUCGCGCAUCAGCCACGGCGCGGUGAAUACGUUCCCG